RNAcentral lists this ribosomal RNA (439 nucleotides) under uncultured bacterium. RNAcentral describes it as "bacterial SSU rRNA". It matches the Rfam family "Bacterial small subunit ribosomal RNA", at positions 338 to 795 of the family's 1533-position model. The record is from RNAcentral.
CCUACGGGCGGCACCAGUGGGGAAUAUAGGACAAUGGGCGAAAGCCUGAUCCAGCAAUGCAGCGUGUGUGAAGAAGGUCUUCGGAUUGUAAAGCGCUUUCGACGGGGACGAUGAUGACGGUACCCGUAGAAGAAGCCCCGGCUAACUUCGUGCCAGCAGCCGCGGUAAUACGAAGGGGGCUAGCGUUGCUCGGAAUGACUGGGCGUAAGGGCGCGUAGGCGGUUUAUGCAGUCAGAUGUGAAAUCCCCGGGCUUAACCUGGGAACUGCAUUUGAGACGCAUAGACUAGAGGUCGAGAGAGGGUUGUGGAAUUCCCAGUGUAGAGGUGAAAUUCGUAGAUAUUGGGAAGGACACCGGUGGCGAAGGCGGCAACCUGGCUCGAUACUGACGCUGAGGCGCGAAAGCGUGGGGAGCAAACAGGAUUAGAUACCCGCGUAGUC